CUCACAAGUGAAGAGCAAAUAGGAUAUUGCUCAAUAUAUUUAGGCGUAUAUUGAGCAAUAUCCUAUUUGCUCUUCACUUGUGAGUAUACCUCCAU
Non-coding RNA from Pelobates cultripes (western spadefoot toad), 95 nucleotides. The record is from the annotation of a GenBank genome assembly. NCBI's taxonomy places the organism in Eukaryota, Metazoa, Chordata, Amphibia, Anura, Pelobatidae.